Non-coding RNA from Rattus norvegicus (Norway rat), 691 nucleotides. The record is from RefSeq and is a predicted model, not a curated record. Lineage: Eukaryota; Metazoa; Chordata; Mammalia; Rodentia; Muridae.
GGAAAUAGAUGUGCUCCGUGUAGUGGAGAAUGCACAAGGAUAAUUCAUCAGAGUCUGUUUGGUUUUGUUCUCUUCUGCACUGCUCUGUUCUGUUUUGAGGCAUGGUCUCAAGUAGCCCAAGCUGGCUUGGAAUUUACAUGCAGCCAAGGAUGGCUGUAAUCUACCUAAGUACAGGCAGCAGCUGCCAUGCUGGACUCCUAAUCAAUGGCUUGAAGGUUCAGAGAUCAUUGCAGAAGAGAGAGCAGAAAGAUUCUAAACAGCCAAAGUCAUGAAGGAUGAGAAUGGAAUUGUGCCUCCUGGACACGACACAACCUGUGCACUCCUGAACCCACAGCAGCUGCGGGUGCCUGCUGAGCAGCCACCUGACUUUCCAGCAGGGACUGAGGGGUGCUUUAUGAAUCCCUACCCCAAACUGAGGAGCUAUAGAAAGUUGUGGCUUCCAAGAAACUUAGAACCAGUUUUGUAUAAGAAUGUGGCUCCUAGUAAGUCAACCGUACCCCCCAGUGGGUGGCCCCAUACCCAGGAAUAUAUGAGCGGCUUAAAUUAGAGUUGAUGGGUUAUGAAAAGACAUGAUGUUGGGAAAAUGAAGUUGGAUCCGGGAAGAGUCGGGGUGAGAAGUUGAUGGUGAGUAUGUGCAAAAUACAUUUUAUGAUAUUCUUAAAGAAAUAAUUAAAAUCUUUUUUAAUGAGGA